RNAcentral lists this microRNA precursor (114 nucleotides) under Aedes aegypti (yellow fever mosquito). Its description in RNAcentral is "microRNA aae-mir-11 precursor". Its record names the gene aae-mir-11. The stretch from base 17 to 94 matches the Rfam family "mir-11 microRNA precursor family". Lineage: Eukaryota; Metazoa; Arthropoda; Insecta; Diptera; Culicidae. The record is from miRBase by way of RNAcentral.
AACAUUGAUGCGAGUAGUGCCGCGCGAGAACUCCGGCUGUGACCUGUGUACACUUUAUCCAAAUCACAUCACAGUCUGAGUUCUUGCUUGGAGGCUCGUCGAUCAACUAAUGGA